CUCGUAGAUAUUCCCUCGGUGAAGUAUAUCAGUUCUGGGAAGGUUUCCUCACAAGAUCCACAGCAAGUACCGCUAUCAAUGCAGACAGUACUCCUCAGCAAUAACCGAUAUCCCAUGGGAACAUGAACUAGUUAAUCUUCCCCAAGCAAUUCUCUCUCGGGGGUCGCACGAUGCUAGGCUAUCCUCAAGGCUGUCAAAUACCUCCACGAUGAGACGGCCACAGCUUAACAAGCUACCUUAUUGGUCAAAACUUAAACUUAAUACUUGGUUCUAACAAGAAUAAACUCAAUACUUGGUUCUAACAAAGGAGAGGAAACUUCAAGCUUUGACAUUGAGGGCCAAAACCACAGAGUUCAGAGAGGAACAACAGCAAGCCCUGCUGGAUGAACUGAGAAGACAAAUUGAAGUUCUUCUACCGGGUGCUCCGCAGCUAUCAGUCUGGCUUCCAUGACUCCAAGUUCCAACAGAAGAUUACACAUGUCUUGCUGGCUGCUACUGUUUGCCUUGGCUAGGACAGCCCUCUCUGGUGCUUGGUUCUGUGUGACAACAACUUCUUUUUCUAUACCCAGGGACUCAACUUUCACUAGGGGCAGCCCUCCCCAGUUUUAUCAUUGGAAUCUGAUAGAAAACGAGGCAUCGGUGUGCUUUUGGGUAGGCUGUUUGGCGUGUUUAUUCGACCAGAUAUUAAAACAUAAAAAAUAUAUAUAUGUUAUGUUCACCCCACUUCUAAAACCAAAGUUGUGCCCCUGCCUGUGCUUGUUCAUGCUGAAUCUGUACCAUGAUGUCAUUCAGGUUGACUUCUCUAGCAUCAUCACUGAGAGUCAGACACAGCAGCACCAGGGUCUGAGUCACUCCCCCAUUUUACAGAUAGAUAACCUAUACUUCAACUUGUACUCUACUGUAAGUUGUGUGAAAGUUAACAUAUUUUGCAUUACUCAUCUCAUAUGUAUAUACUGUGUUCUAUUUUAUUGUAUCUUAGUCUGACAUUGCUCGUUCAUAUAUUUAUAUAUUCUUAAUUCUAUUCCUUUACUUAGAUUUGUGUGUAUUGUUGUGAAAUUGUUAGAUAUUACUUUUUAGAUAUUAGUACACUAUUGGAGCUAGAAACACAAGCAUUUUGCUACACCCGCGAUAAGAUCUGCUAAACACGUGUAUGUGACCAAUAACAUUUGAUUUGAUUUGAGUUCAACACGUGCGUCCUCUUAUGAUAGUGUCAGGGUUCAACAUUAUCCAUGAUAUUUUAGGAAACAAUCUGCAAAAAUUGACCAAUAAGGAUAUGUUAUGAUAUAAUCCUUUGAGAUACAGUUGUUGACCAGAAUAAGCACACAUAAAGCACACAUAAACAGCAACAUGUCUACGAUUCACAUAUAUACGGUAAUCUUAAUCAUUUUUGUAUGUUUAUUGGCAUCACCCACAAGAAGUAAUAUUACAGUUUACUAUAGAAUACUACAGAACUUAGUGUAGUAUCCCGCAAUCAUAGGGCUCCCGAGUGGCGCUGCGGUCUAAGGCACUGCAUAUCAGUGCUAGAGGCAUUUUUAUUUAUUUUUAUUUCACCUUUAUUUAACCAGGUAGGCUAGUUGAGAACAAGUUCUCAUUUACAACUGCGACCUGGCCAAGAUAAAGCAUAGCAGUGUGAACAGACAACAACACAGAGUUACA
Long non-coding RNA from Oncorhynchus tshawytscha (Chinook salmon), 1656 nucleotides. The record is from Ensembl. NCBI's taxonomy places the organism in Eukaryota, Metazoa, Chordata, Actinopteri, Salmoniformes, Salmonidae.